AGGAUGAACGCUGGCGGCGUGCCUAACACAUGCAAGUCGAACGUCCUGUCUCGCAAGAGGCAGGGAGUGGCGGACGGGUGAGUACCACGUGGGUCAUCUACCGUGAGGUGAGGAAUACCGGCGAGAAAUCGCCGACAAGACCGCAUAGGCUCGAUGCAAGUCGAGCAAAGCUCUUUCGAGAGAGGGAGCGCCACACGAGGAGCCUGCGCCCGAUUAGCUAGCUGGUGGAGUAACGGUUCACCAGGGCGACGAUCGGUAGCUGGUCUGAGAGGACGAUCAGCCACACUGGGAUUGAGAACGGCCCAGACUCCUACGGGGGGCAGCAGUGAGGAAUUUCGUCAAUGGGGGCAACCCUGAACGAGCAACGCCGCGUGCAGGAAGAAGGUUUCGGAUCGUAAACUGCUUUUCUCGGGAAGAGAAUGGACGGUACCGAGGAAUCAGCCCGGCUAACUACGCGCCAGCAGCCGCGGU
This 471-nucleotide ribosomal RNA is filed under the name uncultured bacterium. Its description in RNAcentral is "SSU rRNA". It matches the Rfam family "Bacterial small subunit ribosomal RNA", at positions 26 to 521 of the family's 1533-position model. The record is from RNAcentral.